UAGGGAAUCUUCGGCAAUGGGGGGAACCCUGACCGAGCAACGCCGCGUGAGUGAAGAAGGUUUUCGGAUCGUAAAGCUCUGUUGUUAAGGAAGAACGAGUGUGAGAAUGGAAAGUUCAUGCUGUGACGGUACUUAACCAGAAAGGGACGGCUAACUACGUGCCAGCAGCCGCGGUAAUACGUAGGUCCCGAGCGUUGUCCGGAUUUAUUGGGCGUAAAGCGAGCGCAGGCGGUUAGAAAAGUCUGAAGUGAAAGGCAGUGGCUCAACCAUUGUAGGCUUUGGAAACUGUUUUACUUGAGUGCAGAAGGGGAGAGUGGAAUUCCAUGUGUAGCGAUGAAAUGCGUAGAUAUAUGGCGGAACACCGGUGGCGAAAGCGGCUCUCUGGUCUGUAACUGACGCUGAGGCUCGAAAGCGUGGGGAGCGAACAGG
This 429-nucleotide ribosomal RNA is filed under the name Verrucomicrobiota bacterium. Its description in RNAcentral is "Verrucomicrobia bacterium partial 16S ribosomal RNA". It matches the Rfam family "Bacterial small subunit ribosomal RNA", at positions 355 to 776 of the family's 1533-position model. Lineage: Bacteria; Pseudomonadati; Verrucomicrobiota. The record is from RNAcentral.